AUGAAUGCUGGCGGCGUGCCUAACACAUGCAAGUCGAGCGGCAGCGAGGGGUGCUUGCACCCUGUCGGCGAGCGGCGAACGGCUGAGUAACGCGUAGGAAUUUGCCCCAAAGUGAGGAAUAACUGCCCGAAAGGGUAGCUAAUGCCGCAUAUGGUCUUCGGAUUAAAGGAUUUAUCCGCUUUGGGAGAAGCCUGCGUUGGAUUAGGUUGUUGGUAGGGUAAUGGCCUACCAAGCCGACGAUCCAUAGCUGGUCGGAGAGGAUGAUCAGCCAGACUGGAACUGAGACACGGUCCAGACUCCUACGGGAGGCAGCAGUGAGGAAUCUUCCACAAUGGGCGAAAGCCUGAUGGAGCAACGCCGCGUGAAGGAUGAAGGCCUUCGGGUUGUAAACUUCUUUUAUGAGUGAAGAAUAUGACGGUAACUCAUGAAUAAGCACCGGCUAACUACGUG
This 450-nucleotide ribosomal RNA is filed under the name uncultured bacterium. RNAcentral's name for it is "partial 16S ribosomal RNA". It matches the Rfam family "Bacterial small subunit ribosomal RNA", at positions 29 to 507 of the family's 1533-position model. The record is from RNAcentral.